AUUGAUGAGUUUGGGCAUAUUGGAUCUCUGCCUUGGCAGUGACGAUGUGCAAUGCUUAUCUUUUCAGUUGGUGGCUCAAGUGCAUUAUAGCCUUGGCCUGGUUGGAUUUCCUGUGUUGAAUACCUAUUAAAAGGGCAUUUAUUCGGUUGCAAAUGUUUCAUUUCCACCUUAUUCCUUUGCUUUAGAGCUAUGGUUUGGGGUGGACCUCAAAGUGCCCAUUGUGCUCCACUUCCCUUGCAUCGAUGCAUACUCGGGUUGUUGGCUUACAAUGUCGUGGUCGAUCUCUCGGAUGCGGAAAAUUCGGUGGGCAUGAGGCCAUUGGUCUCUCUUUUGCCCUGUCCCUAAAGCGUUCUCCGCUUUGUGCGAACGACGAUCGUCACUGUUUCAGUUGGGUCUUCGUGGCCUGGCUCUUGCAGCGUCGGCGUUGAUGAGGAAUGCUACCUGGUUGAUCCUGCCAG
This 458-nucleotide unclassified non-coding RNA is filed under the name Incarvillea arguta. RNAcentral's name for it is "partial contains external transcribed spacer and 18S ribosomal RNA; ETS". The record is from RNAcentral. Lineage: Eukaryota; Viridiplantae; Streptophyta; Magnoliopsida; Lamiales; Bignoniaceae.